RNAcentral lists this long non-coding RNA (14505 nucleotides) under Homo sapiens (human). RNAcentral's name for it is "HSALNT0295731". The stretch from base 5488 to 5578 matches the Rfam family "mir-554 microRNA precursor family". Lineage: Eukaryota; Metazoa; Chordata; Mammalia; Primates; Hominidae. The record is from RNAcentral.
AGUUGGAGCCAGACAGCGGGGUGGACAAGUGGCGUGUGUGCUGCGACCCCGAGGGAAGAUGAACGGGACGCGGAACUGGUGUACCCUGGUGGACGUGCACCCAGAGGACCAGGCGGCGGUAAGAAAAAGCGCUCUCGCUGUCUUCUCCGUUUUGUAUUCCCGGUUUCUAAGUCCGCCCCUUCCGUGCCCCGCGCCGUGUUGGCUGACAUCACCUGGUGCCCGGCUCGCGCGGUCAGCCCUGCGCGGCGCUUCUCUCUUUUUAUUCUUUUGCCUGCGACGGGCAGUGGGAGUCGCGGGGUGAAGACUCCUUUGAGGCUGGAGGGUUCGGGGCGUCCCUGCCCUUUGGUAGGACACUGCGGCUCCUGCCUGGGACUCGGCGCCGGCGAGCCCGUGCUUGGGCCGCGGGUCUCAGGCGUCUUUUGGGCAGCCACAUUGGGUCAUAAGAGAAUGAGCUCAAGCGACUGGGUCCCUGAGCGCCUUUGGACGUUGUGUCCUGCCGAGGAGGCUUAGGCUUUCCCGUGGGUCGAGGGUCCUGGUGACCUCCGAGGCCCUCCAAAGAAUUUCAUCAUGGUGCUUUGGAUGAUCAGUAACAAGAAAAAUGGUAGAGUAAAUUACAGGGCUUGGACUGGAGGGCGGGGGGCAAGUAGGGGACGGUAGGACUCAAACUAUUCCGAGAUUGGCUAGGGACUCUACCUUUCGCUAAGGGAUAGGGCUUUCCGCCCGGGGGUCACCUCUUGUCUUGGAUUUCUCCUUCUUCCCCCUUGUAGUUCUCUUGUUUUCCUCCCUCUAUCUGCCUGCCGAUAGCUUCCUGGGACGGUGUGUUAGUUUUGCUUCCGUCUCCAGCCGCCAGGCCCUGGGAUAGUGGAGGAAGGGGAUGCAGAACCCGGGCCGAGAAGGGGAGGGAAGUGACCCAAGCGAAGGCUUCUGGACGGGGAGAGGGUUGCGGAGAAAGGGGGCGUUCUCCAGUGCAGGCUGGUCUACCCCUCUCUCCUCUUUCUCUGGCUCCCAGUCCCAGUUCUCCCCACCCUAGCUGACCAUAUGGUUUUUCCUCUCCAGAGGCUGAGGAGGGUAAUUUGUGGCUGAGUGUUUCUAGGCUCUUUUGGGGAACUUAACCCAGAUUAGGUGUGUACUAUUUCAUCAAUUUCCAAGCUAUUGUGGGUGGGAGUGAAAUGAAAACUAAGGUGAUGGGGAACUUGUGUAUCAUCCCCCCUCCCACAUCUGACUCCCUUACUCUCUGCCUGCCUCAUCCUGCUCUUGAGGUAGAGCUAACCCAACUGCAGCUAGAUUAUGGCUCUUCUUCAAACUCAUUUCAGGUUUAGAAUACAGAUGGUCAUUUAGUUCUUUUCCCAGUCCCCUCUCCAUUUCUGCCUGGGCUAUGAGUGUUUUUGCCACAUUAAAAUACAGAUGUUGCUAUUGGCCAACCCCAGUUGCCCAAACCCCAUUCUUCUGUAGCCUGCCACAUCCCCAGCUAUGAGACUCUGAAGAGAUGGAAGAAAUCUAUCCAUUAUGUGUCAGCCACAAGUCCUACUCCCUGCUCUUUGUUUUUAAGCGACGAGUGUCUUGCUAUGUUGCCGGAGCUGCAGUACAGUGGCUCUUCACGGGUGCAAUCAUAGCACACCACAGCCUUGAACUCCUGGCCUCAAUCCUUCUGCCUCAGCCUCCUGAGUAGCUGGGACUUCAGAUGCACACCACCUAUAGCUUCUCUUCCAUGCUCUUGCUCUCUCUUUUGGAAUAGUUGAGGGAAAAGGGUAUGAGAUAAAUAAAGGAGAGGGAUGUUUGGGCUGCUUUUUGCUUGCUUGCUAUAUAGAAAAGAGAUCCGGAAAGAAGUCUAAGACCAAGUUGGCACUGGCAGUGUUAAUGAAUCAUUAACCUCUACUAUUUUUUUUCUUUCUUCCUUUCUUUUCUUUUCUCUUUUCUUUUCUCUUUUUUUGAGACAGGGCCUUGCUCUGUUGCCCAGGCUGGAGUGCAAUGGCAUGAUCUCAGCUCACUGCAACCUCCACCUCCUGGUUUCAGUAGAUCCUCCUACCUCAGUCUCCCCAAGUAGCUGAGACUGUAGGCACAUGCCACCACACCUGACUAAAAUUUUUUUUUUUUUUUUCUGUUGGUAGAGAUGGGAUUUCACCAUGUUGCCCAGGCUAGUCUCGAACUCCUGGGCUCAAGCAGUCUGCCCACCUUGGCCUCCCAAAGGCUUGGGAUUACAGGCAUGAGCCACUACAUCUGGCCCCUUUUACUCUUUCUUGAUGUUUUUGCUCUUUGUCUGGUGGGGCAGAAAAAAUUACUAAGAGAAAAUAAUGGACAAGGAAUUCAGAUGGUCUCCAUCAUAGGUUAGUUUGAAGCUAACCAGAGACCUCUAGAGCAAGGGAGAGACAGAAAUUCCCUUUUAUUCCUUUUUUCUAGGCUGAACUUGAGACUUAUUUUACUCCAGAGCUGGGAAUGAAGUAAUCAUUGCCCAGAUCUGAUCUUGGAGACAUUCCUGGGCCCUUAAGGGAGGGGAGGAGAUGGUGAACAGUCGGGACACAGGCCUUGUCCUGGAUUCCUCUUCUCUGAGCCAACUUGCAGACAGAAUUUAUGGCUCUGGACAACCCCCAGGAAUCUGUCAUAUAUUCACACCACUGAAUGGGUGCUCAAUUCAUGUGCAAAGUGAGUCAAUAAAUAAAUGAACAGAUGUUUCUUCCGGAGUCAGAAUGUAGACAGUUGAACUGAUUAGAGAUCCUACUGGGAGUGAGGGCCCUGGGACUCUGUUGGUGUUUCCCCACUAGCCAGGCAGUGUGCCUUAGCGUAUCACAUGUGGACAUGGACAUAGGGCCAAUACACUCUCUGGGAUGUUUUUAUUGUUGGAGGCAGAUGCAGCAGGUACAAGGAGCCAGUGUUUUUCAGAACUGCAGACCAUAACCAGUAGUGGGUCUGAGAUCAACUUAGUAGGUCAGACCAGUAUUAAAAAAGAAAUAGAAUUAACACUCUUAGAGUGUUAGUGAGGAUAGACAUUUUUGGUAGAACUUUUAUUUCAGUUAUAUAUAUAUGUGUGUGUGUGUGUGUGUGUGUGUGUGUGUGUAUUAUAUAUGUACGUGUUUGUUUACUGGGUCUUGAUGUGAAAUAUGUUUUUGAGAUUGAAAAGUUUUGCAAGCCACUGUGGUAAGUUAUAUUGGCAAAUAAAAGAACAAAUAAACACCAAACUCCUUUUUACUAGAUAUUUCCAUUAACUUCCUUUGGUUAUAAACAACAGAGAAUGACUCCAGCUAAACUAAGCAGAUGAGGAAAUUAUUAGAAGGAAAUAGAGCAGUUCACAGAAUUUAAGGGAAAGCUUAGAAAGCCCUAACCAAGGAUGUUCUGGGGCCUGGGUAAGUGGAACGAUGGAGGCUUACUACUAUUGGUGAAUUGGUUCCAGCUGUUUUAGGUCUCUGCACCAUUAUGCUCAAGAUUCCAGGGAGAGAGUACCAUUGUCCCUUGGCCCCCAGUUGUCCAGAGCAGGACAGGGUUCCUUGACUGAUAGGCCCCCCCCAGAUUACAGUGAUGGAAGGAGAUUCUCCAAAGACCCAAGUGUUGUUAUCAGUGGAGGGGAAUGGAAGCUGCGUGGCAAAAGAACAGAUGUCUAUGACAUUAGACUUUACCAUGGAUGAUCUCUGAUUUCAUUUCCCUCCUUCCCUCUCUUCCUUCUUUCCAUCCUUCUUUAAAUCACUUUUUUUUUUUUUUUUGAGACAGGGUCUCACUCUGUUGCCCAGGCUGGAGUGCAGUGGUGUGAUCAUAGCUCACUGCAGCCUUGAACUCCUGGACUCAAGGGAUCCUUUCACCUCAGCCUCCCAAGUAGCUGGGACCACAGGCAUACUCAACAUGUUUAGCUAAUUUUUCAUUUUUCGUAGAUAUGGGUUCUCACUAUGUUGCCCAGGCUAGUCUUGAACUCCUGGUUUAAAGUAAUCUUCCUGCCUCGGCCUCUCAAAGUGCUGGGAUUACAGGUGUGCACCACUGCACCUGGCCUUAAAUCACCUUUUUUUUGGGCGGUGGGAGGGGGAGGAUGGAGUCUCACUCUGUCACCCAGGCUGGGGUGCGGUGGCACAAUCUUGGCUCACUGCAACCUCCAUCUCCCUGGUUCAAGCAAUUCUCCUGCCUCAGCCUCCCGAGUAGCUGGGAUUACAGGCAUGGGCCACCAUGCCCAGCUAAUUUUUGUACUUUUACUAGAGAUGGGGUUUCAUCAUGUUGGCCAGGCUGGUCUCAAACUCCUGACCUCAAAUGAUCUGCCCGCUUCGGCCUUCCAAAGUACUGGGAUUACAGGCGUGAGCCACCGUGCCUGGCCUCUUAAAUCACUUUUUAUCAAAGGAGUUUCACUCUUGUUGCCCAGGCUGGAGUGCAACGACGUGAUCUCGGACAUUUAAAAUCACAUAUGUGCAUGAUUUUAAAGUAUCAAAGUAUCAAUAAUAUCAAAAGGCUUUUAAAAGAAAAUAGCAGUCCCCUGCUCCAAGUUCUGCUCCAUGGAAGUAACCACUUUCUACUCUUUGAGCUGUUUUGUGUUUACCUCCAUGUUUCUAAAUAAUAUGCUUACAGUGAUUUUAAUUGAUUUAUCAGUUUUAGACAUCUAUUGACUUCUGUUGUAGGAAUUAUAGGAAAAUCUAUACUCCCACCCCUGACAUGCUUCCUUCCCAUCCUCCCAGUGUAAUUGUAUUACAAUUUUUGGUAAUGUAAUAAACUAGUUUCUGUUAAUAGCAUUGUGGUCAAGAGCAUGGCUCUGGGCUGAGUGCAGUGGCUCACGUCUGUAAUCCCAGCACUUUGGGAGGCUGAGGCAGGUGGAUCACCUGAGAUCAGGAGUUCGAGACCAGCCUGACCAACAUGGCAAAACCCCAUCUCUACUAAAAAUACAAAAUUAGCCAGGUGUGGUGGUGCGCACCUAUAAUCCCAGCUACUUGGGAGACUGAGGCAGGAGAAUCAUAUGUACCCAGGAGGUGGCGGUUGCAGUGAGCCGAGAUCACGCCAUUGCACUCCAGCCUGGGCAACAAGAGUGAAACUCCGUCUCAAACAAACAAAAAAAAGAGCAUGGCUCUGGGAAUCUGACUAAGGUGGGCUCUAAUCAGGCUUUGAUGUCUGCUUUGCCCAAGCUCACUUAGGCAAAUUACUUAAUUUCUUCAUUCUUAGUUUUCUCACUUGUAAAACUGGGAUAAUAAUUGCACCCUUCUCAUAAGGUAGUUGUGAGGAUUAAAUUAGAUAAUACACAUAAAAUAUGAAGCACAGUGCCUGGCAUGUGGUAAGUACUCAGAGGUUAGCUAUUAUUUUCUAUUUCUACUGGCUUAGACUAGACUGUUUUAACCUCCUAUAAGCAACCAGCCAAGGGAUGGAGGAAGAGUCUGGGAACUCUCUGGUUUGGGCAAGGUUUGCUCCUCCUCAUUAUGCUGACUUUUGUUUAUUCCUGUUUCUUUCUCGUUUCCUUGAUGAUCCAGGUCCCUCAACCAGUGGAGAGUCCCAGGGGUGAGAGGAAGGCCUACAGAUAGACCCAGGGUGAAGACCUGAGUAACCUUUGCUAGUCCUGACUCAGCCAGUACUGGUCUUAGACUGGUGAUGGGUCAGGGUUCAUAUUUUGGCAUCUCUCUCUGGGCAUCUUUCCUCUUCUUUUUUAGACCUCAUGACCAAGGCAGCUGGUGUCCCCUGCUGCUCUGGUUUCUUUAAGUAAUAUAUCAGUUUUAUCUUUCUUUCGAAUAUUUGCAUUUUUUUCUUUUUUUUUUUUUUCUACAGCAUCUUUUUAUUGUCUUUACCAUUACUUUAAUGCAUUUUAAAAUUUAUCUACAUUAAUUGGGAACUAUUUGCAUUUUUUUCAUCCUCUCUCUCUUUUUCUUUUUCUUUUUUUGGAUUUGUCUUGGCCAGAGAGGUUCUCCAACACCCGGGUGGACUUGGAAUUUUUUUAUCAGCUGCAAUCUGAAGACUUGUCUUUACUGUGGAAUAGGUGACAUUCCUUUAGGACCUCAGAAGCUCAAGUAGUUUAAUGCCAAGUCUUUCCAGAGCCUCACUCUCUUUUAUUUUUUAAAUUAGAAUUGUGAUUUAUUGAAGCCUUACCAUGAGCUUCAUAUAAUUUUUUAUGAACAGCUUUAUUGAGAUAUAAUUCAUAUACCCCAUUUAAAGUAUGUAACUCAGUGGUUUUUAGUACAUUCACAGAGUUGUGCAAUCAUCAAUAAAUCAAUUUUAGAACAUUUCCUUACCUUAUAAAGAAAUCCUGACCCAUUAGCAGUCACUCCCCAUUUCCCCCCAAUCUCUCUCAGCCCUAGGCAGCCACCAGUCUACUUUUUUUCUCUAUGGAUUUACCUAUUGUGGAUAUUUAAUAUAAAUGUAAUCAUCGGUAUGUGAUCCUUUGUGACUGGCAUCUUUUAUUAGAAUGAUGUUUUCAAGGUUCAUCCAUGUUGUAAUGUGAAUCAGUACUUCAUUCCUUUUUAUGGCUGAAUAAUAUUCCAUUAUUUAGAUGUAUUACAACUGUGUUCGUCAUGGAUAAAUGUUGGUGGACAUUUGGGUUCUUUCUACUUUUUGGCUAUCAUUUAUAAUGCUGCUACGAACUUUGGUGUACAAGUUUUUGUGUGGAAAUAUAUUUUCAUUUCUCUUGGAGAGGAAUACCUAGGAGUGGGAUUGCUGGGUCAGAAUAUUUGCAUUUUAAAGGAGGAUUCAUCUGUAGCCAUUGCUGCUUACUCCAGAGGACUGAAUGUAUUCUAAAAUGUGGAAGUCCUGGUUCUGUGACAUCUGAGUGUGGGGAAAAACUGCUGGGCAGAGGAGCCUUUCAAGUUUGGUGGCUGCCUGUUCCUUCUACUCAUGAAACUUGUCCUAAACUCAGCCCAUAAAUUUCUCCUCACACCAUCCCAUCUCUCCCAUUUAUUGCCAGGUUCUUACUUUCAGGAGCACUGCAUUUUUCUGAUGUCACCAAGGCUGCCAGGAAUUUGGGGAAUGCUGGGCUUUGCCAGAGAAGGAGGGAUCUCCUCUGAGCGAGGAGAGUUACCUCAUCAUCAGGCAUUUGGCACUAACAUUUGCCCAUAGUUCUCCAGGGUGGAGGGGGGCGUGCACCCAGAUGGUUUCAGUUCCAGACACGUGUGCUCAGAGAGGUGGGAUGAGCUUCCUUGCCUGCUAGUAAUUAUGGUGCAUGCCUCUUUGGGUCAAGGUGCAGAGGCUUGUGAAAUACCUUUGUUUUCUAGGGGUUGGGAAGGUUCAGUUGCGGAAAUAGGUAUGUGCCAGGAAGGCUGGUGGCCCAGAUUUAAGCCUGGCCAGCAGAGGCAGGAAGUGGAGGAGACAAUAUAGGGUAAGAAGGGGAUGAGUCGAUGAAGGAAGAAAAGAGACGUGGUUUUCUUGGGUCUGGGAGCACAGAAGCAAAAAUCACUAAGCAGGUAGUCAGAGACUAGAGAGGGCAGAGCCACUCCCUUUGAUGCAGAGGGGGCACUGAGGAACUUGCCCUUUCAUUCCAGGUUUGCUGGUCGCUAGGCAGGUGUCCUAGAGUGAGACUGGCUUAGCAAGUGGGUGUCUCCUUCAGAGUUGGUUCAGGAGCUCACUUCCCUCUACAGACACACUGUCACUGCUAGGCCCUAGUGUUUUCCUUUGUUAGGGCUCCAAGUAAUGAGAAAGGCUGCCCCAUGUAGGGUGCCACCUCAAAUCCUUUUUCUCAUUUCACCUCACAGUAACCCUGGUGAGCCCUCUACAUAGUGCCUGUCCAGCCCAUGCCUCUGGGUAGGCAGCCACAUAAAAAUCAAACACCUGUUUUGUUGGCUAAUCUGGGGAGGAAGAAAGGGAGUGAUUCUUUGUGUCAUACUCCACAAAGGGCCAUCUCUGGCCUAGGCAGCACUGCAGAAGGCAGGACCAUGUACCUGAGACUGAUGAGCUGAGUCGGGUGCGAGCCUCACUCAAGGAGAGGGUAGAGAGGGUAGGUACCCACCUAUCCCAUCCGGCUCUGUUCUUUGAGUUUAUGGGACUUCCUUCAUCCUGAUCACUUGGGUGCCAUUGUUACAAGGGGCUGGCUAUUCCUACUUUUCUUUUUUCUUUUUCUUUUCUUUUUUUUUUUUUUUUGAGACGGAGUCUUGCUCUGUCACCAGGCUGGAGUACAGUGGCCCAAUCUUGGCUCACUGCAGCCUCCACCUCCCAGGUUCAAGUGAUUCUCCUGCCUCAGCCUCCCAAGUAGCUGGAGCUACAGGCGUGCGCCACCACGCCCAGCUAAUUUUUGUAUUUUUAGUAGAGAUGGGGUUUCAUCCUGUUGGCCAGGAUGAUCUCAAUCUCUUAACCUCGUGAUUCGCCUGCCUUGGCCUCCCAAAGUGCUGGGAUUACAGGCUUGAGCCUCCGUGCCCAGCCUCCCAUUUUUCAAAGUGGGGAAAAGGGUGAAGAUGAAUUAAGGUUGCUGGUUUCCAGCUCAGGGGCAAUCUCCACUUCCUUUACUUCCUCUUAGAAAGAACCUUACACUUGACUCCUACCCAGUCCUAGUGACCCCUGUAAAACCUGGGGAGUGAGAGCUGGGGGAACGCAGGCUUUUCCCUAUUCACAUGAGCCUGUGGUGUGAGAACUCUGCACCUCUCUCCUUAUUUCCCUGGGGCCUCCCUGUUUAUCUCCUUAUCUCUGCUGUGGCGUCUUGAUCUCUAACCCCUCAGCUAUGUGUUUACCCCCUCCCUGCUUUGAGGAGUGAGUCAGGGUUGGAGAUUUGUUUGAACAGAGUGGUGAGGCUGCCUAUAAUUUGGAGGUAGCUGGGCUUCUCCCAAAAAUGUUUAUGAGGUUAGAGGCUGCUUACCUUGUGAUUAGUACUGCUCCUUUUUCCCUAGAGAAGAAGGCUCCACUUCUCAUCUUGCCUUUUAGAGUACCCAGUAGAGACCCCCCUGCCGGAUAUUUUUGGGGUGUUCCUAAAGCUCCCUGGAGCCUGCUCAUAGUCCUGAGGAAAUGCAAGCCUGCUCUAGAAAACAACUAAGUGCACCAGGCAGAGAGGAGCCCCAGGAUUUGCUCCUUGACUCUGGGUUGGGGGUGCAGGCCGAGGUCUGUGGCCUUGCUGACUAAGAUGCAUUCUCCAGUUCUGGAGGAUGAGGUGCCAGAGAGAGCCCUAAGUUUUUCAUCAGCUCCAUUAGACAAUUUACCUCAUCCACCCUCUUCCCUUGCAGACUUUCCAGAGCUACUUGGGAAAGUAAUGCUGCUUCACCCUUGUGAAGAGAUGUAUGGUUUGCAAAUCACUUUUACAUCAUUCUUGCACAUCUAUCUACUCUUCCUAAAAUGUCGGUUGUGAAAUUAUCACCCUCAUUUUACAGACAGAAAACUGAGGCCCAGAGAGAUUAAGUGAUUUGCUCAAGGAUUAAUGGUCAUCAAUCAGGACUCAGACAUCCUGCCUCUGACUUCAAGUUUAGUACUUUGUUUUGAAACAGAGUCUCGCUCUGUCACCUGGGUUGGAGUGCAUGGCACAGUCUUGGCUCACUGCCGCCUUGACCUUAUGAGCUCAAUUGAUCCUCUCACCUCAGCUUCCCUAGUAGCUGGGACUGCAGGUGUGCACCACCACACCAGGCUAAUUUUUGUACUUUUUGUAGAGACAGGGUCUCAUUAUGUUGCCCAGGCUGGUCUCAAACUCCUGGACUCAGGUGAUCUGCCCUCCUGGGCCUCCCAAAGUGCUGGGAUUACAGGCGUGAGCCAACAUGCCUAGCCAAGUUUAGUACUUUUUCUUUCCUUCUCUUUAUAUGUUUUAUUAUAGGAGUGUCACAGGGCUCACUGCACCUCUCUCCUUAUCUCCCUGGGGCCUCUGCCUCCCAGGUUCAAGCGAUUCUCCUGCCUCAGCCUCCCAGGCAACUGGGAUUACAGGUGCCCACCACCACACCUGGCCAGUGUUUUGUAUUUUUAGUAGAGACGGGGUUUCACCAUGUUGGCCAGGCUGGCCUUGAACUCCUGACCUCUGGUGAUCCACCUGCUUUGGCCUCCCAAAGUUCUGGGAUUAUAGGCGUGAGCCACUGUGCCUGGCCCAAAUAGUUUUUUCGUUUGUUUGUUUUUUUGAGACAGAGUCUCACUCUGUCACCCAGGCUGGAGUGCAAUGGCGUGAUCUUGGCUCACUGCAGCCUCCGCCCCUUGGGUUUAAGCGAUUCUCCCACCUCAGUUUCCCGAGUAGCUGGGAUUACAAGCAUGCACCACCAGGCCCAGCUAAUUUUUAUAUUUUCAGUGGAGACGGGGUUUCACCAUGUUGACCAGGUUGGUCUCAAACUCCAGACCUCAAGUGAUCUGCCUGCCUCGGCCUUCCAAAGUGCUGGGAUUACAGGCGUGAGCCACCACACCUGGCCCCAGCUUGCUUUUUCACUUAACACUUAUUUUGAGAUUUAUUCAUGUCAAUGCAUGUUUCAUAGUUCAUUUAUUUUCACAGCUGAAUAGUAGUUCAUUGUACUAAUAUGUCAGGGUUUAUUCAUUCAUUUUCUAAUUAGCCAGGCACGGUGGUGCACGCCUGUAGUCCAGCUGCUUAGGAAGCUGAGAUGAGAGGAUCAAUUGAGCCUGGGAGGUCAAGGCUGCAGUGAGGCAUGAUCAUGCCACUGCACUCCCGCCUGGGUAACACAGUGAGACCCUGUCUCAAAAAUAAUAUAUAAUUUAAAAAUUUGUUUUCUUGUCAGUGGGCCAUCUGGGUGGUUUCUGGUAUUUUGCCAUUGCAUGCAAUGCUACUGUGAACAUAUUUCUACAUGUCUUAUCUUUAUAUUUCUAUAAGUGUAAUGAAAUCCCCCCAAAAUAGCUCAUUAGCAUUUUAAUUUGCCUUUUCCUUUACUGGUGAGGUUGAGCAUCUUUCCUAUUCCAUUAGCCACUUGUUAUUUCUUUUUAGAGUUGCCUUCUUAGUCUUUGCUCAGUUUUUCCUUGACCUUCCUCUGCUACUUUUCUGUGUCUGCUUUUUCUAGUAUUCCAUACUGCUUCUCUAAACUGAAGAGCUGGAGUUUCUCAAAGGGAAUUGGGAAAAUCCCUGAACAUAUCACCUGGAACUCAUGCAACAACAUAUUUUUUUGAGAACCUAUUCUAGGCCAGCCAUUGUACUAAAUAAGCUAUCCAUGUCUUCAAGGAGCUUAUGAUUUUCUCGGGGGAGAUGAAUGAAUUGUUACAAAAGAAUGGGCUCCUUGUUAAAGUGCAGGAUAUGUAGGUUGCAGUAGGUGCUCUGACUGAGGGAGGAGUGCUGGGAUAAGGGUCGGACCCUCAGAGAGGAGAUACCUUGAAGGCUGAGCAGGAAUUCUCCAAGGAGGCAAGGGAGGAGAGGAUACCCCGGUCGGAGAAAGCAACAUGCGCACCUCUGGGGAGGUGGGAGCACGUAUUGCACUGGAAGACCCGUUAGCAGAAACAGACUUGGCUUUGGAUGCCUUCUACAAUUGGAUCAGGAAAAAGUUGGGGAUAGAGUGCAGGGUACAUUGGGGUACUGGAGGGAGUCAAAACAUUUUAUGUGGUAUAAACUGUGAUGGUCCUGAUCAUAAGGGGACUCUAAUACCAUAAUAAGGAGUUUUUGACUUUUUGUUUUUAAAAACAUUUAAUAGUAACAUAUAUACAGAAAAAUAUGUACAUCACAAAUGUCCAGUCAAGUAAUUUUCACAAACUAGACACAUUCCUGUGAGCAGCACCCAGAUCAAGAAACAAAUCAUUACGGGCACUGCAGAAGCCCCCUCAUGUCCCCUUCUAAUUACCACCUACCUCCACCUCAAGGGUAACCACUAUCCUGACUUCUAAAGUGCAAAUUAUAUUAGUUUUGCUUAUUUUUGUGCUUUUUAUAUAAGUGGAAUCAUACAGUAUACUUUUGUGUCUGGAUUCUUUUGCUUAACAUCUUUGUGAGAUUUACUGAUGUUGCAUGUACAGUGCUUCAUUCUUUUUCAUUGUUGUACAAAGUUCCAUUGUAUGAAUAUAUUACAAUUUAUUCUACUCUUGCUGAACAUGUGGGUAAUUUCUGGUUUGAGGCUAUUUUGAAAAAUGCUACUGUGAACUUUCUAGUAUACAUGCUUUUAUGGGAAACAUAUGUAUGUGCCAGGGCAAAGGGAAAGCCUCUCCUUCACCCUCGGAAGUUUUGCUGAAAAUCACUGACAAAAGAAAAUAGGGAAAAAGGCCCGGGCGCGGUGGCUCACGCCUUUAAUCCCAGCACUUUGGGAAGCCGAGGCGGGUGGAUUACCUGAGGUCAGGAGUUCGAGAGCAGCCUGCCCAACAUGGUGAAACCCCAUCUCUACUAAAAAUACAAAAAUUAGCUGGGUGUGGUGGGACACGCCGGUAAUCCCAGCUACUUGGGAGGCUGAGGCAGGAGAAUUGCUUGAGCCCGGGAGGUGGAGGUUGCAGUGAGCCGAGAUCGUGCCACUGCACUCCAGCCUGGCCGACAGAGCGAGAGGGACUCUGUCUCAAAAAAAAAAAAAAAAAAAAAAAAAAGGCAUACAGAUUUAUUUGAUCAUAGUUUUAGGUGACAUAGGAACCUUCUGAAUGAAGACCCAAAUAUACAGAGGAAAACGUCCAUUAUUUUUAAAUUUUCAAUUUUUAUUAUUUUUUAAAAGCUAGCCUUACUGAAUCAGAAGCAGUCCAUUCUUAGAUUUGAAAAAGUAUAGGCAGCUGUGUAGAAAUAUGAUUGGACAAAAAGGGUAUGAUCUAAUGCUGAGAGACUAAAUGGGGAAACCCAGCAAGGCCUGUCUGUCUAGAUUCUUCUUGACCUCUCUAAGCAUUCCUUCCAGGUGUGAGACAGGGCCCUCUCUGGAAUGGGGGUCUUAUGACUUCAGAUCAAGCAAGGUGGGUCAGAUAAUUUUUUUUUUUUUAGAUGGAGUCUUGCUCUUGUCCCCAGGCUGGAGUGCAGUGGCACGAUCUUGGCUCACAGCAACCUCCACCUCCCAGGUUCAAGCAAUUCUCCUGCCUCAGCCUCCUGAGUAGCUGGGACUACAGGCACCUGACACCACGCCUGGCUAAUUUUUCUAUUUGUAGUAGAGAUGGGGUUUCGCCAUGUUGGCCAGGCUGGUCUCGAACUCCUGACCUCGUGAUCUGCCCACGCCUCCCAAAGUGCUGAGAUUACAGGCAUGAGCCACUGCACCCGGCCAGAUAAUUUCUUUAUAGCUAGCUUUUAAUAGAAAGAGAGGUGGAAAGUCAGAGUAAUAUUUUUAGGUUUUAUGGCUGGCUUUGGGGAAAAGGGGUUCUGGUUUCUAUGACCCACCUUGAGAAGAGGGAUUCUAGUUUCUAUGGCUAGCCCCGGGAUGGGGAGGGGAGGAAUGAAAGGCCAGAAAAGAGGUCAGGAGAAAGUCAGAGAAAACUUUUUUCUUCCGAGGUCUUCAUUUUGGGGUAUCAUAUUCUGAGAUCCUACAUUUGCAUUUCUGUUGGGUAGAGUAACUAGUGGUGGAAUUGCUGUGCCUUAGAGUACUUUUGUGUUUAUCUUUGGUCCAUGCUUCUGAAUUUUCCAGCGAUUGUGUUGCUGCGCAAUCCCAGCAUCAGUGUCUCAGAGUGUCGGUUGUUCCACAUCUGCUGAACACUUCGUAUUUUUUUUUUAUCCAUUUCAUGUUAGUCAUUCUGAUAGGUAUUUUGUGGCAUUGUUUUGUGGUUUUACUUUCCAGCUCUUUGAUAAUGCCUAAUGAAGUUGAACCCCUUGUCAUAUGUUUAAUGACUGUUUGGGUAUCCUCACAAUGAUGUGUCUGUUGGCAUCUUCUGCCUGUUUUUCUAUUGGGCUGCAUGUCUGGCUGGCUGUCUCCCUUUCUUUCUUUAAGUAAACAUUUUAUUUUGAAAUAAUUUUAAAUUUACAGAAAAGUUGCAAAGUAGUACAGAGAACUCUUAUAUACCCUUCAUCCAGUUUUCCCACAAUGUUAACAUCUUAUGUCACCAUGGCACGUUUGUCAUAUAAAGAAAUUAAUGUUGGUACAAUGCUGUUAACAAAGUUGUAGACUAUCUGGGUUUCACCACUUUUUCCACUAAUAUCUUUUUUCUGAUCCAGGAUUCAGUCCAGGAUCCCAUGUUAAUCAUUUUGUUUAGUAGGAAUUCUUUAUAUAUUCUGGACAUCUUUUGUCAGAUAUACAUAUAGUGAAUUUCUUUUGCUCUGUGGGUUGCCAUGCAGUGUUUUUUUAAAUUUUAUUUUAUUGUUAUUGAGACAGAGUCUUGCUCUGUUGCCCAGGUCGGAGUGCAGUGGCACGAUCUUGGCUCACUGCAACCUCUGCCUCCCGGGUUCAGGCAAUUCUCCCGUCUCAGCCUCCUGAGUAGCUGGGACUACAGGCACGUGCUACCACACCCGGCUAAUUUUUGUAUUUUUAGUAGAGAUGGGGUUUCAACAUGUUGGCCAGGCUGGUCUCGAACUCCUGACCUCGUGAUCUACCUACCUUGGCCUCCCCAAAGUGCUGGGACUGUGAACCACUGUGCCCGGCCCCCUUUUUUUUUUUUUUUUUUUUUUUUUUGAGACAGAGUCUCACUCCGUUGCCCAGACUGGAGUGCAAUAGCACAGUCUUGGCUCACUGCAACCUCUGCCUCCAGAGUUCAAGCGAUCCUCCUGCCUCAGCCUCCUGAGUAGCUGGGACUACAGGCAUGUGCCACCACUCCUGGGUAAUUUUUGUAUUUUCAGUAGAGACAGGGUUUCAGCAUGUUGGC